RNAcentral lists this ribosomal RNA (497 nucleotides) under uncultured bacterium. Its description in RNAcentral is "partial 16S ribosomal RNA". It matches the Rfam family "Bacterial small subunit ribosomal RNA", at positions 28 to 507 of the family's 1533-position model. The record is from RNAcentral.
GAUGAACGCUGGCGGCGUGCCUAAUACAUGCAAGUCGAGCGAACAGACGAGGAGCUUGCUCCUCUGACGUUAGCGGCGGACGGGUGAGUAACACGUGGAUAACCUACCUAUAAGACUGGGAUAACUUCGGGAAACCGGAGCUAAUACCGGAUAAUAUAUUGAACCGCAUGGUUCAAUAGUGAAAGACGGUUUUGCUGUCACUUAUAGAUGGAUCCGCGCCGCAUUAGCUAGUUGGUAAGGUAACGGCUUACCAAGGCAACGAUGCGUAGCCGACCUGAGAGGGUGAUCGGCCACACUGGAACUGAGACACGGCCCAGACUCCUACGGGAGGCAGCAGUAGGGAAUCUUCCGCAAAGGGCGAAAGCUUGACGGAGCAACGCCGCGUGAGUGAUGAAGGUCUUCGGAUCGUAAAACUCUGUUAUUAGGGAAGAACAAAUGUGUAAGUAACUAUGCACGUCUUGACGGUACCUAAUCAGAAAGCCACGGCUAACUACGUG